ACAUCAUCAGGAAUCCAGGACUCAAGCUUGUCCCCGCAAGGUCACUGGAGGCUCCUGAAGUCCAGACAUCACAGUGGAGACCACUUACGGCCACACUUCAUCAAGGAGUAAACCCCCACCGGCAAGCAGAGCCCCCUCUCACUCCUCAGUGGUCAGCACUGCAUGUCACGCUGGGGCCUAAGCCAGUCGUCACCAGCCAGAGGAUGAGACAUUGGGCUGCAGAGAAGUGAAAUGAACCUGCUAAGCCGAUUGUCAAAUGGAUGAGAAACUCAGAGCCAAGGAUCGGGAAAACACCCUUAAAGAACGAGGUGAUGGCUGAGUCUGUCCCAGGCCAGUGCUUUGAUAAGGCUGUGAUCACCACAGUGGGAUAGUAUUGGCUCAGGGGGAAGAAUGGACCCAUGCAGCAGGAAAAGGAGCAGGCAGCACACACAGUGUGGA
This 438-nucleotide long non-coding RNA is filed under the name Macaca mulatta (Rhesus monkey). Its description in RNAcentral is "lncRNA (ENSMMUG00000052227.1)". Lineage: Eukaryota; Metazoa; Chordata; Mammalia; Primates; Cercopithecidae. The record is from RNAcentral.